Molecule: ribosomal RNA, 57 nt
Filed under: Trichoderma gamsii
Lineage: Eukaryota; Fungi; Ascomycota; Sordariomycetes; Hypocreales; Hypocreaceae
Description: partial 28S ribosomal RNA
Source: RNAcentral
UGACCUCGGAUCAGGUAGGAAUACCCCGUGAACUUAAGCAUAUCAAUAAGCGGAGGA